UUCUAUUCGGCUUUUCCCCAACUUCUACAUUAUUAUAACAAAAGCUCUAGAAACAAUGAUAACUAACAGGAUAUAAAUUAAAAUGUUCCCAUCCUCAUCCAAAAUGCCAUUUAUCCCUUCCUGGUUUACGAAAAUUCAUCUGCGGCAACUUCGACAUCACGACAACAAAAACACGAGACAGCAUCCACAGCAAAUACAAAAAGGCACUACAGAAUCAGUGAAAUCAGCGAUCAUGAAAAAAGAUGGACAACCAAUGUACAAAAGACAACAAAUAGUGCAAAUAAAGAAAAAACAAAACAAGUAAAUGAAUGAAUAAACAAUAAAUAUCAAGAACACUGGUGUGAAGUCCAAGCAGAAUCACAUACCAGGUUUUGAAUCAGAGAGGCACUGAGCCGUUCUGUUUGUGUGUUAAUGGAAUCAAAGGGCUUGCUCUGUCACAAUGCAAAAAGAAAAUGAGAGAGAUCCGAAUCAGCACAUAAAUCACCCUUGGCACUCAGCGAUCUGCCAGUUUGGAGUGGCAUCAAUCAUUAAGGAGCCCUCUGGGACAUGCCCUCUUCUCAUUACAUCUGAUCAGGAAAAAGGUACAGGAGUCUGAAAGACUCACCCCAACAUUUCAAGUGCAGCUUCUUCCCCUCUGCCAGCCAAAGUUUUUUGAAUGCUCCAUGAACACUACUUUUCCUCUUAUGCACUUUUUUUUUUGGUGACUUACAGUAAUUUUUGUCUUACAACAUACUGUUCUUGCAAAAAAAGUUUCACAGCAAACUUGAUUCUGAAUCUGAAUGGCCUGUUCCUGAGCUGUACUGUUCAAACUGAAACCAGCUUUCGCAAGGAAAUUCAAGGCUUGGCUCCCUGCUCUAGAUUCUUUCAGAGGAGAGCGGUUCAGCCCACUGAAUCCUUUUAAUAGGUUCUUUAGAAGACCCUGACCUGGAGCUGCACGCUGACUUCUGUUCUUUGCAGGAAUGGGACCCGCUCUUGGGGUCUCAUGACAGCCCGCUAUUUGAUAUGCCAAGGAUGCACCCUAGAAGACUAGCGCACCAUUAGGGUUCCAGGAUUUUGUGGCUCUGGAAGUGGGCGGUCUCAAGAUUUCCAGUAUCAAUGGUUUGUUUUUUGAUAAGGUGCAGGUUGCCCAAGUGCAAACAGCAAGUAAAGACUCUGAACACAGCUGCAGUAUGAAAACCAUCACGCACAGAAAUAUUAUUUAGCCAUGACCACCAGCUGUUCACAAGGUUGCUGCUGUGCUGCCUUGUGAAGGACACCACUCACCUCGUUGCCAGGUAACCGUGGAAGGAUCAAUAUCCAAACGAACAAACUUCGUGAUCUCCUCUGGUGUCAGGAGAUGGGGGUCCUUCUUCUGAAUACCCAAGCGCUGUAUUUUUUAAAAAACGAC
Molecule: long non-coding RNA, 1387 nt
Organism: Hypanus sabinus (Atlantic stingray)
Lineage: Eukaryota; Metazoa; Chordata; Chondrichthyes; Myliobatiformes; Dasyatidae
Exons: 5
Source: RefSeq, a predicted model, not a curated record